Non-coding RNA from Brugia malayi, 75 nucleotides. The record is from RefSeq and is a predicted model, not a curated record. Lineage: Eukaryota; Metazoa; Nematoda; Chromadorea; Rhabditida; Onchocercidae.
AUACAAGUUUAGCAUAUCACAAACAAAAUUCUGGAAGUGUGCCAGAAUUUUGUUUGUGAUAAGAUAAAUUUGCAA